This 66-nucleotide transfer RNA is filed under the name Pseudoneureclipsis achim. RNAcentral's name for it is "tRNA-Leu". Lineage: Eukaryota; Metazoa; Arthropoda; Insecta; Trichoptera; Polycentropodidae. The record is from RNAcentral.
UCUAAAAUGGCAGAAAUAAUGCAGUGUAUUUAAACUCCACUUAUAAAGACAUAACUUUUUUUAGAA